RNAcentral lists this ribosomal RNA (292 nucleotides) under uncultured bacterium. RNAcentral's name for it is "partial 16S ribosomal RNA". It matches the Rfam family "Bacterial small subunit ribosomal RNA", at positions 28 to 317 of the family's 1533-position model. The record is from RNAcentral.
GAUGAACGCUAGCGGCAGGCCUAAUACAUGCAAGCCGAACGGCAAGUUGAGUAGCAAUACUUGACCUAGAGUGGCGUAAGGGUGCGUAACACGUAUGCAAUCUGCCCUCAACAGGAGGAUAGCUCCCCGAAAGGGGAAUUAACCCUCCAUGGGAUCUUAGAGUGGCAUCACUUAGAGAUUAAACCGCAAGGGGUUGAGGAUGAGCAUGCGCAUGAUUAGUUAGUUGGCGGGGUAACGGCCCACCAAGACGAUGAUCAUUAGGGGAACUGAGAGGUUGAUCCCCCACACUGGC